AGACUUGGCAUUGAUAAGGGUUUGUGUUGUUUAGCAGGGUACUCUGACUGUGGCCCAUGACUCGAAGGAGGUGCAUCUCAAAGUGUUCCCAUUUUAACUUGUAUUAGAUAAUUUAUUACUUCUUGGUAUUGAUAUAUCCGCCACAGAGAAAGGACAGUAACAUCCAGUUAAAAUCACAUCCACGUAUACAGGUACCAAAAACCGAGUAAAAGCUAGCACAGCAGAAACCAACAGCAACAGAGGAGAAAGAAGCUGAAAUAGCAUCAGCAGACAAGAAGCCAAUGGCAGGGAAGAAGUUACUAGAGUGCAGCUGGUGCUGACAAGAAGAGGACGACGAAGAAGUUACUAGAGUGCAGCUGGUGCUGACAAGAAGAGGACGAC
This 381-nucleotide unclassified non-coding RNA is filed under the name Hevea brasiliensis (rubber tree). The record is from RNAcentral. Lineage: Eukaryota; Viridiplantae; Streptophyta; Magnoliopsida; Malpighiales; Euphorbiaceae.